RNAcentral lists this long non-coding RNA (424 nucleotides) under Vulpes vulpes (red fox). RNAcentral's name for it is "lncRNA (ENSVVUG00000005047.1)". Lineage: Eukaryota; Metazoa; Chordata; Mammalia; Carnivora; Canidae. The record is from RNAcentral.
AUAAAAUUUAGCAUUUGAGUUCUCAAUGACUCUUGUCUACACAGUAGAGUGCAGGACUUAAUGAGAUACUGACACCAGUGGAAGCUGUGUGGGAUAUCUAAUGUCACAUGAUCAUUGUCUAUCUUUCUUCUGACAUGAUCUCUCUGAGAGUCAAACAUAUCAGCAAGUACGUCCUAGAGUCACAGCAGAGGUGAAAGGUCUGCAGAACCAGGACAUUGUAGCGGUAUUCCUGACCAAGCUAUUUCUCCAGCUGGUGAAAUCCCAAGGCACAGAUGCAGACCUCAAAAGUGAGUGAGGACAGACUGGUAUACGCAAAGCUGAAAUUACCCUAUUCAAGGAAACAGGACAAAAGACAUCCAGUGGGUAAAAGGAGAGUAUUUCCAUGGCAUAUGGUUGCAUUAAUCCUAGGAGUUAUAUGUUUUUU